RNAcentral lists this ribosomal RNA (400 nucleotides) under phytoplankton environmental sample. Its description in RNAcentral is "partial small subunit ribosomal RNA". It matches the Rfam family "Eukaryotic small subunit ribosomal RNA", at positions 587 to 992 of the family's 1831-position model. The record is from RNAcentral.
AGCUCUGUAAGCGUAUAUCAAAGUUGUUGCAGUUAAAACGCUUGUAGUCGAAUCUUGGCUGAACUUACGCGGAGUGCGCAAGGAUUCUGAGGUUGAGGAAAGCCUUUGUGGAUUGUGUGCGCGGAGGUGUUUUAUUACACUUCCGUUGUACUGCCACCGUUUACUGUGAAAAAAUUAGAGUGUUCAAAGCAAGCGAUUUGCCCUGAAUACAUUAGCAUGGAAUAAUAGAAUAGGACCUGGUCUUAUUUUGUUGGUUUGUAUAAUUUCAGGUAAUGAUUAACAGGGACGGUUGGGGGCAUUUGUAUUCCGAGGCGAGAGGUGAAAUUCUUAGACCCUCGGAAGACAAACAGCUGCGAAAGCGUUUGCCAAGGACGUUUUCAUUGAUCAAGAACGAAAGUAC